RNAcentral lists this long non-coding RNA (3969 nucleotides) under Homo sapiens (human). RNAcentral's name for it is "non-protein coding lnc-SCN4B-2:3". The record is from RNAcentral. Lineage: Eukaryota; Metazoa; Chordata; Mammalia; Primates; Hominidae.
CUUUCUGUCUGGGCUUCUGUCACCCAGCUUGUACUCAGCCUUUUCAGAAGGAAGAGAACGGGCAUUUGUGGAGCGUUUUCUGGGUGCCAGAUCCCGAUGGAAGAAGUGGACAACACAGUGACACUCAUCAUCCUGGCUGUCGUGGGCGGGGUCAUCGGGCUCCUCAUCCUCAUCCUGCUGAUCAAGAAACUCAUCAUCUUCAUCCUGAAGAAGACUCGGGAGAAGAAGAAGGAGUGUCUCGUGAGCUCCUCGGGGAAUGACAACACGGAGAACGGCUUGCCUGGCUCCAAGGCAGAGGAGAAACCACCUUCAAAAGUGUGAGCCCUGCUUCGGGCUGAGCAGCUGCAGGGAGCCCCCUUUCUGAUGAUGAAACUGAUGCUUGAGCCCCGACCGUAGAACCCACGUGCCUGAGACAUCUGCUGCUUGGCUCAAACUGUAGUCUUUCCGGGCACAAGAAACCAGAGUCCUGCCCAGCCUGCCCAUCCCCUUCCCAGUCAGGGCUCCCCAGGGACAAGGGAUGGCCAGGGGAGGGGGUCUGUGGAAGAUUCAGGAGAAAGAAAGGAGAGGCUAGGGUGGUGUGGAGGGGCUGGUCCCCUGACACCUGGGCAGAUGGGGUCUCCUUCAGUCUCCCUACCCUGCACAAGCAGGGCCUUGAUUUUCCUCCAGGCUUCUCUUCACAAGAGACUGGGAGGAUCCGUAAGGGAUGUCCUAAGAGCUGCACCCUGGAGAUGGGGUGUAGGAAGAAGUGGCUUCCUUUGGAGGUGGGAGUGGGCUGGAGGCCUCUGGAGAAGACCUGGGGUGGGGGCUGAUGGGGGCAGGCCCACAGUGAGAGACUGCCUCUGCUUCAUAGGAUACCAGAUCCCCCACAGUCUUCCAAGUAGGAAACUUCCUUUCCCCUGCCCCGGGACCCUAUCUGCCUAUCCCCUCCCCUGCUCAGAGUUUUUAAGCCCUCUCAACCAGGGCUGGCCACCCUGGUCUUGAGGGUUCCUGGCCACCUAGCCUGCUCCUCUGCUCUCUGGGUUACUGAGGGGCUCAGGAAGGGGCCCCUCGAGCCUUCCUGGAGUACCCGAGUGCUCCCUAUGCCUUUCCAAGCAUUUCUACUUGGGGAAUUGGGCCACAGAGGUAGUGAGCCAGUGUCCUGGGCCUCUGGGAUGCCCGCCCCAUUGCUGCCAAUGCUGGCAGCCCCUCCCCUGGCAUGGCAGGACCAUCGCCACUCUGGGCACUCCUGAGCCCAGCUCUCCCCUGCUUCUCCCCCUCCUACCUGAGAGGCUGCACCCUCCAACCUCCCAUUGGCUCGCUCCCCCCCCCCCACCGUGCCCUCCAUCACGCCCUGCCCCCAGGGUGGUUCAUUUCCCAGCCCUGGGUCAAGGGCCUGCCUUCGCCUCAGGGACUCUCUUCCUUUGGAUGAGGGGGUCCUUGGGUUUCCCAGCUGCUUCCUGCUCAGCUGGGCCACCCCCUCCCACCCUGGGGUUGGGGAGGAGCAGGGAGUGGGUGCCCACAGUUUUCCUUUGCUUCUCCCAGAGCUGGUUUGCACAGCCCUUGUGUGUGGGGCUAGAAUGUGCCUUAGUCCUGAAUCCUAGCCCUUACCCCCAUCCUCUCUAGACGGUAUGUCCUGACAUAACAGCAGAGUCUGGUGUGGUGCUGGUGAGGGUUCGCCAGCCCUCCCCUCCCCAGGGUCAUAGAGGGGGCCAUGAGGCUGGAAUUGGCCAGUGACUGAAUCUUGGAGAUGUCGGCCAGGUGCUCCCAUUGGGGUUUCUAGCCUGCCCUAGGGGGAGGUGGUGAUGUUGGGAGUGGGAUCUCCUGAGUCCUUGUUGGGCAGAAUUGGUGAGGCCAGGGAUGGCAGGGAAAAGUGGUAACAAGCCUCUCUGCCCAUCUACUUCCAAUCCCUCUCUCCCUUACUGAUUUUUUGAUGCCCUGUCUUCUGGGCCCCUAGGAGGGAUGAGAGAGGAGUAGCCCCCUUUUUCAGAGAGUUUGGGGUCUACCUCAGAGCUCUCCCUGUCAAAAAGCAGCUGCAAGCCUCGCAAGGGUGGAGUGGGGGGAGACUGAGGACCAGUAGUACCUGCAGGGUGCCCGUGGCUGUGGCCAGUGUCCCUUAGCCAACCUGCUGGGCUCACCAGUUCCCCGUCUGAUCUGCCUGUGCGCCUCCCAUUCUUCUCUACCCAGAACCUGUCAUGGGCUGGGGCUCAGAUUUUCCUGGCUUUGGGAGCAGACAGACCAGAGCCACCAGCCAUUCAGAAAACUUCUUAUAGCUACCUUCAUGCAAAACUGUUUUCUUCUUCCUUCUCAAUGGUGACAUUUGAAGAGGCAGAGCACCUUGGGGCUCCUCCUUCUGUCUUAAGAGAAAGCCAAGGCACGUAGAGUAGGGAGAAGAAGGGCACCAUCCUCUCUUUCCUCCCCAGGGUCUACUGCUGAUUUCUAGAUGGAUCAUGCAGCUUCUCUCAGCUCAGCUCUUUCCAUCUACCAAAUGGGUGUAAUAAUACUUACCUACCUCACAGGACUGUUGUGAGGCUUGGCAAGUUUUGUCUAAAAACAUCUUUUUGGCUUGGAAAGGGAUCUGGGAAGCCAGGUAUUAAUUGCAGGGAUAGUUCCAAGUCUGUCCUGUCUUCAUCUCUGUGUCCCAUCUCUACAACCCACAUACAGACACACACACUCUCUCUCUCUUUCUUUCCAUCCCACCCCCCUUGGAAUUAUUUAGUCUUUGCAAUAUUAGAAACCUUGACUCUGAUGCUUAAAGCUUCUUGUCCAUGGCUUUUGUUUGAUGGUUUUCAAUAGAGGUGACUGAGAUUGUAGGGGGGGCAUUUUUGGUUGCCCCCAUGCGUGGGGGCACUACUAAGAAUGCUAAACUUAGUCCCCACAACAAAGAAUCAUCCUGUCCCAUGUCAACAUUAUACCCAUGGAGAAACACUGGCAUGGAUUUGCACUAGGAUGUAUAUGGGCAAAGCUAUCUUCCCCAAGUGGAACCUCAGUGCAUGCAAAUCUCUGAUGGUGGCUUCCAGGGCUUGUGGGCUAGAGAGAGCCACUUACAAAGUCGAUCUUGAGAGACCUGGCCACAUGCAGCUGGGCUGAGUGAUGUCAGCGAGACUAAAGACAAAGUUCUGAGCUCCUCAUCAACUACAAAAUAUGAAAUCAGCAUUCCAGGUUCUGGGCUUCUCCCCAUGUCGUAAUUGAACAGAAGGCAGCCCGAAUAAACCCCUGAUGUUAGAGAGGCCUGGGGAGAGCAGCCGAUGGGGCUCAGACUACAUAUGGCAGGCCGAUCAGAGCUCUUGUGGAGCGAGGGCUUGAGAGCAUGCUUGUGAGAUGGCAGGAGGUGGGGUGUGCUUGUGUGGAGUGUGCGUGUGCAGGCAGUGUGGGUGCAUGGCAGCGUAACUGUGGAGUGGAUGGGCUCUGCAUGUAAGGGGUGAUGCAUGAUGGGCAGAUGCUGGACAUUUGAGGAGCCGUCUUUCUUGGCCUGAGCUAUGCCUGUUGAGGCAUCUGGAGACUGAGAAAGAAUCAAAGGCAGAGAAGACCAGCCGUGCUCCUGCAUUCCGUCACUCCAUGACUUCAUCUCAGUGUCACAGACAGCUGCCAUCAGAGGGCUGGCAGUAGGGAGUUCCAGGAGCGGGGACUUCUCGGGAAAAUCCUAUAACUUGCUUUACUUUACUUUGUCCCAGGUUGGAGUCCCUACCCUCCCACCUCCCACCUGAUAUGCAGUGCUUUUGACUAUCUUAUGCAUGGUUUAUUCCUCUGGCUUGGAUGACAACAAUACCCAUAGUCAAUUUUCCUAUGUAACUAUAGAUCAAAUGAUGCAACAACAGGCCUUGGGAGGCCUCAGGUGUGCGAGUGCCUCUGGGAGGCGCAGAUGCCCACACAGCCAGCACUGACUUGUGUUCGAGCACAGAACGGAUAUAAUCAGUCUGGCCUCUACAACAAGUUUUGCAUUGUAGAAUUGUAUUUAGCUUUGCCUUGGAUGAAAUAAAAAUUAUGUUUAAU